AUGACAGCAUCUCUGUACACUUUAGGAUCGUGGCUUUCCACCUACAACUCCCAACAAGCACUUUCUAAACAAAUGAAAUUAAAGAAAAUAUCAGAGUGCAUCCAACAGAUGUUUGAACGGAACAGAUUGGGGACUCUUUCAGCCUCCGACAACCGUCUGGUUUCCUCUCCACUUGCAACCUCUGGGACCAUCUUCUCGGCCAUCUCCUGCUUAUGGGAACUGCCAAUACCGUUUUUGUGGUUAGCUCCUUCUUGCCAACCAACCACGAACUUCCAGAUUCGUCAGAAUUAUUCCACCAACAUGAGGCGGCCGUCAACCACCUGGUCAAUUUGCACCUGCUGGCCUCCUACACCUGCCUCUCUCUGAGCUUCUAUUUCGACUGUAAUGAUGUGGCUCUGGAAGGCAUGAGCCACUUCUUCCGUGAAUUGGCCAAGGAGAAGUACGAGCAUCUCCUGAAGAUGCAAAACCAGUGUGGUGGCCACGCUCUCCUCCAGGACAUCCAGAAGCCAGCUCAAGAUAAGCAGGAUAAAACCCUGGAUGUCGGCCGGGCACACGGUGGCUCAUGCCUAUAAUCCCAGCACUUUGGGAGGCCGAGGUGGGUGGAUCACGAGGUCAAGAGACCGAGACCAUCCUGGUCAGCAUGGUGAAACCCCAUCUCUACUAAAUACAAAAAUUAGCUGGGCAUGGGGGUGUGCGCCUGUAGUCCCAGCUACUUGGGAGGCUGAGGCAGGAGAAUUGCUUGAACCCAGAAGGCGGAGGUUGCGGUGAGCUGAGAUCAUGCCAUUGCACUCCAGUCUGGGUAACAACAGAGAAACUCCAGCGCAAAAAAAAAAAAAAAAAAGAAAAGAAAAGAAAAGGAAAAAUUUCUGGAAAUAAAUGAAAUUAAAAGUGCAUAAAAUAUGAGUUAUUAAAAUACUGCUAAAUCAUAUUAGAUAAUUUCUCUUCCUCUUUACACUUUUCAGAAGAAAAGGUCAAUGGCACUUAUGAUCAUUAGGCAAUGUGUAAAGCAUUUGAUGUGCGUAAUCUUAUCACAUCAGCACAAAUGUCACACAAUCCAAAGAACAUUUUUGGCUCCAACUUACAGAUGAAUAAGCAGGCUUAGGGAGGAUCCUGCCUGAUAGACACUUAGCAACAGAGAGGGCCAGGAAUGGGGUUCUGUAAUCUCAGUCUGCGCUCAUUUUGCUGGAAGCCACAUUUGUAGAUACUGGUACUUAUCUGAGCCUAAUCCCCAGAAUCUCUAUGGUCAAUUGGAAAAAGGCUUAAGGAGGGUCAGGGGAUAGAUAGGUCUUGGCCAGAGUCCACCUCACAGUGGGUCAGGUGGGAUUCCAGGCACACUGUGUGGCUAUUUUGCCAGCCUUGCUGUCCUUAUUCAAGGAAUGUGGUCUGUCAUGGUGGGAAUGACCAGCUAGAGUCCUUGAAAAGGCCAGCUACAACCAAGAUAAUAACCUAAAACAAUUCUGUGCCCGAGGACAUUGCAGAGAUUAGUUCCAUAAAGAUUUGAAAGGUGCAGGGCUAGUGCUUUCCAUAACACCACUAUUACUUCACCUAUUUGGUCAAUGCAGGAGGCAAAUGGUGGUGGGGAAUGAAGGUGGACUAACACAAACAUAUUCGUGGGUUUCCCUAUCCUACCCAUAGCAUUUCUGCCAGCACCACUACUUGUAGAUUUACAUAUGCUUACUCCAUUGCAAUGAUGUCUUACAUACUAAUUAUUUGGCCAUGGGACAUGUUUUCAUGAUAAAAGGUGUUAGGCAAUGGGCCACAGCUGUGGAGUUUCCUGCUCACCACAUGCCACAUCUCCUAGCAGCAGGCAGCUUCACAGAACGGUGGAAAGACCUGCCGCGGCCUUGAUUAUGGCGGCAGUGUGGGCUCCACACCUAAGACUUUACAACAUGUAGUGAACCUGUGGAUGCCUCUCAGAAUUUCCCAUCAGGACCUAGGCCACCAUUCCAUGAGCUGCUAGAGUAUGAACUGCUAAUGAUUCACUGGUGAAACCUCUUCCAAGAAUGUCCUUGGCCCACUGGAAUAGUCUUACUCGAGGUCAUGCACCCUUCCCAGUGUGGGGACACACAGCCUGUUCUAAGGAUACGUAGUACUUCUGUCCAUAAUGGCAAAUGAUGUUGCCAUUG
Molecule: long non-coding RNA, 2126 nt
Filed under: Callithrix jacchus (white-tufted-ear marmoset)
Lineage: Eukaryota; Metazoa; Chordata; Mammalia; Primates; Cebidae
Description: lncRNA (ENSCJAG00000080510.1)
Source: RNAcentral